This 1482-nucleotide long non-coding RNA is filed under the name Equus caballus (horse). Its description in RNAcentral is "lncRNA (ENSECAG00000054757.1)". Lineage: Eukaryota; Metazoa; Chordata; Mammalia; Perissodactyla; Equidae. The record is from RNAcentral.
AAAACACCAGUUACAUAAGCAAAGAGAGUCUUUCACUCCAGGGUUUGUGUGUUACUCUGGAAGUCAGACUAAAUCUCUCCCAAAGUGGAGAUACUGGAUAGACAUUGAUGCUGCAGCAGGAGCCUGAUGUGGUGGCUGUGGGAUGGGUCACCUGGGCCCCCUGAAGUCUCCGCCCCCUUGAUGCUGGCAGCCAGCAGCUGGCUUUUCCACCGCAGCUCUUUUGCCAUCCCAGUAUUAAAGAAAGAGAGAGGAAAUACACCAAAUCUCCUAUUGAAGUAGAUACUUAUGGCUUCUUUUUCUUCCCCUUAAAAUGUUUCUAAAAAAUUAAAAAAUAACAAUAAAAAAGAAAGGAAGGAAGGAAGGAGAAAGAAACAAAGGAAAACAUUUUAGUUGCAGUUGAAAUGCCUCCCCAACCUCUCCCCAAAGUUAAUCCUUCUACUCAGAAUGUUCUGUGCUAUGUUGUGCUGCGUUUUAAUUCCACAAAGAACCCCGUGGGCACUGACCAGCCCGGCUCCCACUCUCCAGAGCACCUGGCACCCACUCUUCCACUGCAUUAUCGUGCUGUUCUGGAGAGAACAAUUCGGUCUUUGUUGUGCUGCUGAGGAUCCCCGGCCAGGCCCCGUGAGUGGAUGCAGGUUUCUAGAGAAUUGGGCACCCGUGGGCACCAUGGUGACUGUCCUCUCCUUUCAAGACGCCUGUGGAUUUCAGCAGCUUUCCUUAAUGAGUCGGCUCUUCAGAAAAGUUCUGAAUUUGUUUGAUGUCCUGAAGCACUUGUGGUUCUUUGUCUAAAAAUGUAGACAUUCUCUAAGCAUGCUUUUCAUCCCGUGAAUGAAUCUCUUUCUGUGUCCUGGCCUCUAACACCCUAAAGUUCAGAGGCAUACAAGUAAAAAGGGGCAUUUGUACGAGAAAACGAAGAUUUCAGGACACAGAGUUUUUUGACUGUUGGUGACCUUUCGUGACAUUUUCCCUCAACAUAUUACCAUUUGUUCAUCCACUUAUUCACGCAGUCACAGACAUUAAUUAAACCACAACUAUAUGCAAGAGACUUUGCUGGGCACUGUGUGGGACGCAGGGGUCCCUGGGAGGGAGCAGACCAGAGUGGCUGAGAGCUCGAGUUUGGGAAUCAGAACACUUGUUGGCUUUGCCUCUUCUGGGCUGGGUGAUCUUGAGCAAAUCACUUAAUCUCCCUCUCUCGGAUUCCACAUCUGAAACAUCAGAAUCUACUUUAUAGGGUUAUUGUGAGAAUUUAUUGAGAUUUGCUGGCCAAGCAUCUUCUAAUCACUCAUUCGAUAUUCACUUAAAAAAGAGAGCAACUUGUAGUCUAGAAUGGAAACAAGACAUUUAUGCAGAUAAUUAUAUCAUAUGUGGUAAAGAACAGUAAACGCCAUGAGAAUUAAAAAGGAGGGUGGAUUAACAGAGGAAGUAGCAGUAGCUAAUCUAACAAAAAAGCCCCAAGCCUGUGGUUUAAUGCAACAGGUAUGG